CAGCCCAUCUGAUUCCCAUCCGUAAAACACAUCCCUCAAAUAUUGGGUUUCCUAAAACAAUUGGCCUCCACUCUUCUUUCCUUCCAACCCUUUCCAUUUUUGCUUUGUUUCUGCUUUGGAUGAUCAAAGGAUUCCAUCUCCUGUUGUUGUGGAUCAUUUAAUAUUAUGCUGUGAGAUUCUUGCAAAGUUGGAUUUCAUCUAUCGUUAGUAAGUGUGCCCUUUUCAGCUCUACUCCCUUCCCCUUUAUUUUUGCUUCUGACAUCUUUGUUCAUAGCUGAUUUCUCCGGUACAAUGAACUCAGUUCAUUUCUCCAGGUGGUGCUCGCCUGGGGUGCCUUGGAAGCUGCAUUCCGCCACUUCCAACUGGGAAUAAGUGUCUCCUCCAGGUUCACUCGCUUGAACCUUGUAACCCCCAAAUUGCUGAGUCCUUGUUGUUUUUAGCUGAGAUAGCCAUGUCUAUUUAGCAUUUCACAUCUUUUAUCACCUCUGUGGCUUUUGUAAAUUCUGUUAUUGUGAAUAAACUUUAUAUUGUAGCCUCCCCUUCCCCAUUAUCUCCUUAAGGAAGAUAUCCUUAAAUAUGGGAUUUGACUUUUAUCACUGUUUAAGAUUCUCCUUCCGUGUGGUUCAAGGCUUUUGAAAUCUUCAUAUCUGCAAGUCCCCUGUUCUAUUGCUUUGUUUGCUAGGUAGUCAGCAAGUUGAUUUCCCUCCCUCAAAAUGUGUUGAACUGUAUAUUGUUUAUCUUGUAAGCAUGUUUUGAUUUCUUCCACAAUAUCUGAAAGUGACCAUGGGGUGACCCAUUUUCCUUUUAGCACUUCGCACAUUAACAUAGAAUCAGUUUGAAUAAUGACCUGAUUAUAUUGAGAGGUCUUGCAAUGUUUGCUGGCUUCUAAAAUUGCUACUGCUUCUGCCAUAGUACUUGUUGUAUUUUCAAUCUUGGCACCUUCUGCAAAUAUAAUGUCUCCAUUCUCAUCUCUUAGACAGUAGGCAUAUGAACUCAAUCCAUAACAUCCUUUAGCUGCACCAUCCGUGUUAUAUUUGAUCCAUCCAGCCGGUGGGCAUUCCCAUUUAACCUGAACGACCUUAAUUUUAGGCUUAUAUUCCUCUAGUUCCUUAAGUAUUUCUGGCCAGCUUCCUCCUCUCAUGGUAGGCCUCUUCACUUUAGCUAACAUAUUCAAGUGCCUGGUCACAUUGUGAAUUAUUCUGGGAAGUGAAGUGCUUUUUCCUUCAUGCUUCUGUUUGUUCCUUCUUUUCCACAGUUCCCAAAUUAUAAAUCAUGGAAUAGCUCUAUAAUAAGGUCUCAUAUCUGUCUUAAUGUUUGCACCCCCACCAUAACAUUAUAACUUCCCUUAGUUGCAAUCCUGUAAUGUUUAGACCUGCAAAAAGAACAAAAGUAGGACCAAGUCCUGUUAGCAAUUUCUGAUUUUCGAAACACAUGUGAUAGUGUUUCUUGAUCAGGUUUAUCACAACACCAGCAUCUUGAAGGUCCUUCAAGGCCCCACCUUCUCAGCCUAUCAUCCAUAGGGAUUUUGAACUUCCACAACCUCCACAUCAUAAAGGCUACUUUGAAAGGAGUCCCCUUAGUCUAAAUCCACCUAUGUAUUAUAUUUGGUUCCUCCUUGUGCCUUAUUUAGUUCCAUGCUUUUUUGACUGAGAAAACACCCCUCGUAUCUAACAUCCAACAAGGUUUGUCAUCUGUGUUACCUUUAGGGGGCUUGGUUUGGCUUAUGAUGUGUUCAACAUAUUCUGCUGGCAGUGUUUCAUUCAAUAAAUCCAUAUCCCAUUCCCCAUUUUUUGUUAGAUCCCUAACUACUUCAUACCUUUCAUCCCAUGCAAAGUUUUCCCCCGUAAUUGUAUACAGGUCCCCCAGUCCUGUCCAGUUAUCGUGCCAUAGUGAAGCUGAUCCAUUCUUAGUUUGCCAGAGUAUUUGAUGCUGAUUAGAUCUCUUGCUUGUAGCAUUUUCUUCCACACUUGUGAACCUCCUCCUCCUACUUUCCACAUGACCAGAUUCUGAUUCUUUGACUUGCAAUAUUUGUUUCUCAUGUAUUCACUCUAUAAAGACUUCUUUGUUCUAUAAUUCCACCAAAGCUUACAAAACAAAGCCAUUGAAAUAUCAUGCAUUAGUCUAAAACCUAUCCCUCCUUCCUGCUCUGGUAGACAUAGGUUUCCCCAUUUACUCCAAUGUCUGCCUCUUCCUCCUACGCAACUACUCCAAAAGAAUUGAGCCAUCAUUUUUUGCACAUCAGUUAAGACAUUGCUGGGAGGAUUCAUGACUGAUAAACAAUGUAUAGGAAUACUCUGUAGUACAUGUUUAAUUAGAACUGCUCGUCCCCCAUAAGAUAAUAACUUACCUUUCCAUCCUUGUAUUUUAGCUCCUAUCCUUUGAAUCAACUGUUUAUAGUACGUUUUUUGCUUUCUCUUGUAAAAGAUAGGGCAGCCUAAAUACGUAAAAGGAAAUUCUUUCCUUAGGAUUCCUGUUGCUACUUCUGCUACCACUGAUUCUCCUCUGUUGACACUAUGGUGCAAGUAGAUUGCACUUUUGUCUUUAUUCACCUUUUGUCCAGAUAUCUCUUCAUACUUCUGCAAUGUUUCGCUGACCAUUUUCAUUGUGCCUACCUCCGCUUUACAUAAUAUGAUCAUAUCGUCCGCAAACGCUAAAUGAUUUAGCUUCAAGCUUCCUCUUGGCAUACCAAAUCUUUUAAACUCUUUCUUUAUCAUUAGGGCGUUUAGGGCUCUAGACAUCACUUCUGCUGCCAAUAUAAAAAGAGUGGGUGAUAAAGGGUCACCCUGUUUGAGACCUCUUGAGGAUUUGAAAAAACCUUUCGGCUGUCCAUUUAGCAAAACUGAGUACCAGUUGUUGCUAAUCAGUCUAAACACCAUAUCAAUUAUUCUAUCCCCAAAUCCCAGUCUCCUCAUCACCUUUGUUAGAAAAAGCCACUCAACUCUGUCAUAAGCUUUCAUCAUAUCCAACUUAAUAACUAAAUUAGGUGGUGUUCCCCUUUUUCUUAUUUCUGAAAUUAUUUCUUGAACCAGUAAUACAUUCUCUGCUAUACUUCUCCCUUGUACAAAUCCUGCUUGUUCCGGAGAGAUGAUUUGAGGGAGUACUUCUUUAAUUCUCUCAUGGAUAAUUCAUGAAAAAAUUUUGUUCACAAAAUUACUCAGAGAAAUAGGCCUCAAAUCUGAAAAUGUACUAAACAACAUCUUCUUUGGAAUAAGGACUAGAUUUGUGUGUGUGAUGUACCUAGGUAGUUCAGCUCCACAGAAAAAAGCUAUAGUCAUUUUAUGAAUGUCAUUCCCAAUGAUUUCCCAAGUACUUUGAUAGAAGGCCCCUGUCAUCCCAUCUGGUCCUCCUGCACUAUUUUGAUUUAGCCCCAUAACCGCUUUUUUGACCUCUUCUAUCGUUGGCACUCUCUGCAUCUCCUCAUUCCUAUCUCCACUUACUACUUGUGGUAGUUCAUUCAGCAUUUCAUAAUCUCCACUGGCCUCUAGCAUUUUGAAUUGUUUGGUAUAAAAUUCCACUGCUGCUCCUGCUAUAUCCUCUUGAUCCUCUAUCCACUCCCCUUCCUCACUUUGAAUUCUGUUUACAUGCAGCCUAUUUCUUCUACCUUUCACAAUGGUAUGGAAAAAAUUUGUAUUUCUCUCUCCAUCCUUAAACCACUCCAUUCCAGCUUUUUGUUUCCAGAAUUCUUCUUCUCUAUGAAGUUGUUUUUUUAAUGCUGCCUGUGCUUUAUGUAGCGUUUCCCGAUUUAAUCCUGUUGGAUUUGCUUCAAAUAUUAUCUUUUUUACUUUAAUGAUCUCUUCUAAAGUAGCUAUCUCUUGAAAAAUGUUGCCAAAGGUCUCUUUACUCCACUGCGUUAAUGCUCGCUUGACCCUUUUUAGUUUAUGAUGAAAUACACUAAACGGAUCCCCUUCAAAGUCCGCUUUCCAAUGGUCUUGCACUACUCCCUUGAAAGAUUCUUCCUGUAUCCAGAAAUUCAAAAAUCUGAAUGGUUUACUAACUCUCUCGUUGGUCACUUUGAAUGAGAUCAAUAAUGGCGUAUGAUCGGACCCACUCCUUAUGAGGUGUUCAAUUUCUACUACUGGAAAUAUAUUAUGUAAUUUAUCGUUACACAACACUCUAUCCAGUCUUUUAAAAAUGCAUUCUUCAUCAGUUCUACCAUUCCACCACGUGUACUUGCUUCCUUUGAAUCCCUUAUCCUCCAAGUUGCACAUGUUUAUACAGUGGUUAAAGUCUCUACUUUCUGAGUCUGUCACUGGUCUUCCCCUUAGUUUUUCCUCUUCAUUGCUAAUAACAUUAAAAUCGCCUCCUACCAUCCAUGGUAUCGUGCUAUUAUUUGCCAUCUCAUACAUCGACUCCCACAGUUGUAGUCUUUCUAGUUGUGUGCAUUUAGCAUAUACCAAAGAUAUUAGAACUUCAAUGCCCAAUCCUUGAUUCUUCAAUUUGACAGUUAACAUCUGCUCUUCAUCUCUAAUCAGUUCGAUUUCCAUAAUCUCAUCAAUAAAAGCCCAUAUCUUGCCAUUAGUACUAGCUACUGCCUGUUUCUUACCCAAUCUUCUUGUAAACUCCUCUAGUCCUUGAUUAUCUUCAAAAGGUUCCAUUAAUCCAAUGAAAUAAAAUUGAUAUCUCUUAUGGAGAUUUAUAAGUCUUGUAAACGCUUUUUGAGUGUUUACUGACCUAAUAUUCCAUAUUAAAGCCUUCAUUGAUAUUUGGAAUUUUUGACAAUCGUUCUCUUCGAUUGUCUAGAUGCUGCUUGAGCCUUUGAAAGAUUUUCUUCACUUUGUUCCCUUUGUUUUGUAUAUUUUCCUUUGAGCUUCCCUGUAUGUUUAGGCGAUAAAUCACCUUCCACUGCCAUUUGACUUAUAUUUUGGGAUAAGUCGUCCUUCUCUACUUCCCUUACACUUUGUUCUGAAAGCUGCUGUAAUUCCUUCUUUCCUUCUUCUCUCCCCUGUUCAUCUUCCAUUUGAAAAGCCAGUGGUAAUAUUUCCUCAAUACUCACUUCUGCCACCACUAUAGUACCUUCAUUGAUUUCAAUAUCUCCACUUCCCUCCAUUAGCUUUUCUUCCGCCUUUUCUUUAUCUGCUUCUUUCACUUGCAUUCCUUGCUUACCCUCUGCCUCAAUUUUCUUACCCAUGUCCUCUUUGUGAAUCUCCUUCAUUUCCCCUUUGUCGUUUUUCUCCUUGUGGACAAAUGUUUUGUUCACCCACUCUUUAGUACUGUCUUUUUCCCUUGUAUCUUCAUUGUUAUUUUCUAUAUCUAUUACUUCUGUGUCCCUUAGUGCUUCAAAAUUAUUUUUAUCCUGAUAGUCGAUCUCCCCUUCUAUAUGCCCGUAUUUGUCCCUCUUGUACUUAUUCCUUCUCCUUACCAUCCAUUCUUGUCUAUUUUGCCUGUUUCCUACCACUUUCCCACUAGUUAAUGUUCUUCUUUGAUCUGCUGCAGUACCCAUCCUGUUUUGCAUGCUAUCUUGUCUUUCAUGUUGCCUUACUUCUUCACUCUUUACUUCAUACAACUCUGGGUGAAUUGUCCAGCAACUUUGUUCGUCAUGGCCUUGUAAACAACAUUCUUUGCAAUAUUUAGGCAUGUGAUCAUAUUGCACUUUAAUCCACUUGGAUUUUGUCACUCCUGUAACAUCAUCUUCUUCAUUGAUUUUUACUCUCUGGGGUAACUUUGCAGUCAAAUCCACCUCAACUUUUACUCUAGCACAACUUGGUCUUGUCUAAUUCUUUGUUGCCAUGUCCACUGUUAGGGGUCUGCGUACUGCACUUGCUAUUGAGAAGAUAGCCUCCUUAGCAAAAAAAUUUGGUGGUAGAUCUGGGAAUGAUAUCCAUGCCACUCCAAUCGUUGUUUCUACAUCAGGUUCGAACCAUGGAUCCCAUUUAAGGGUACGCAUUUGCCAGUAAUUCUCCUUCACAUUAAUAUAAAACGCUGCUGACGAUAAAACAUGCACAUAAUCCUCGAUCAUUGUAAGUCUGAUCAGUAUGUGCCUUGUAUCCAGAACUCCUAUCGAGCAAUCACCUUUGAUACCACACUGACUCGGGAUCGCCUUCCUCAGUUCUGCAAUAUCUGGUUUGCCAUACGAAAAUUUCCCUAUAAUUGCAAAUUGCAGGUUUUCCUUCAUGAUUAGCAAUCUAACUUCGGACGUCUUCCAUGUAAUGCUUGGUUCCCCUUGUAGAAUUAUCACUGGUUUAGUCGGUAUCACUGGGAUUUGAUGCAUUACAAUUUUGGGUUUAAGCAGGUUGACAUAUUGGAUCUUGUUUGGAUCUGGAUGGGUGGUUUGGUUUUCCGUGAUGAUUGUUUUAGUUAGAGGUGGGAAAUCCUCCGGUGGGAGGCUCCCACCGAUGGUGUUGACUGUCAUGUGGCCGGCGCUUUUCGUAAGGUCCCUCGUGGUCCUUCAAUAACACUAUUUUUCAUUUUUACUCUUAUUAUUGAUAUUUUGUUAUUAUAAUCUCGACAAUCAUCAGUUAUCACUGUUACUUCAUUUCAUGAUCAUCUUAAUAUAAUUAAUAUCGUUCUAAUCGUUUCUUUAAA
RNAcentral lists this long non-coding RNA (6522 nucleotides) under Solanum tuberosum (potato). Its description in RNAcentral is "long non-coding RNA (STUB_LNC002075)". The record is from RNAcentral. Lineage: Eukaryota; Viridiplantae; Streptophyta; Magnoliopsida; Solanales; Solanaceae.